Molecule: ribosomal RNA, 492 nt
Filed under: uncultured bacterium
Lineage: Bacteria
Description: partial 16S ribosomal RNA
Rfam family: Bacterial small subunit ribosomal RNA
Source: RNAcentral
AGCGAACGCUGGCGGUAGGCUUAACACAUGCAAGUCGAACGGCAGCACAGUAAGAGCUUGCUCUUACGGGUGGCGAGUGGCGGACGGGUGAGGAAUACAUCGGAAUCUACUUUUUCGUGGGGGAUAACGGAGGGAAACUUACGCUAAUACCGCAUACGACCUACGGGUGAAAGCAGGGGAGCUUCGGACCUUGCGCGAUUGAAUGAGCCGAUGUCGGAUUAGCUAGUUGGCGGGGUAAAGGCCCACCAAGGCGACGAUCCGUGGCCGGUCUGAGAGGUGGGUCGGUCACCCUGGAACUGGGACACGGUCCACGCUCCUGCGGGAGGCCGCAGUCGGCAAUGUUGGACAUUGGGCGCAAGCCUGAUCCAGCCAGCCCGCGUGGGUGGAGAAGGCCUUCGGGUUGUAAAGCCCUUUUGUUGGUAGAGAAAAGCAGCAGGUUAAUACCCCGCUGUUGUGACGGUACCCGAUGAAUAAGCACCGGCUAACUUCGUG